UACAUGUUGAUGUAAAGAGCAUAAAAAGUUUUGAUCUUUUAAGAAAUAGUGCAAUUCUGUUACGUGUAA
Molecule: transfer RNA, 69 nt
Filed under: Cyclograpsus intermedius
Lineage: Eukaryota; Metazoa; Arthropoda; Malacostraca; Decapoda; Varunidae
Description: tRNA-Gln
Source: RNAcentral